Long non-coding RNA from Sebastes umbrosus (honeycomb rockfish), 328 nucleotides. RefSeq lists it as uncharacterized. Lineage: Eukaryota; Metazoa; Chordata; Actinopteri; Perciformes; Sebastidae. The record is from RefSeq and is a predicted model, not a curated record. The transcript has 3 exons.
UACAGAUCCAGUAAAGUAUAGAAACACUUUGGGUUUGACACAUUGCGGGAAAAGCAGAGCCAGACAUCAUGGGUAAAGCUGCAUGCUAACUCUGUCAUGGACAGGAAACGUUAUCGUAUUGCGGUAACAGCCAUCACUCUCAUCUCCGUGGUCAAAUCAACAGACGCUACAACUGUAGAGCACCCAUAUACUGACAUUUAUGUUAAAUGAAUUCAAACGGCCCCGAUGGAGCUGACCAUGGAUGUAUAAAGAGACAGGAGAGUUAGCGAGUCACUAGUAGCGACAAACUUGGCGAAGUUAGCGGAAGUAUACAUGUGUGACCACAACC